RNAcentral lists this long non-coding RNA (9130 nucleotides) under Homo sapiens (human). Its description in RNAcentral is "HSALNT0401078". Lineage: Eukaryota; Metazoa; Chordata; Mammalia; Primates; Hominidae. The record is from RNAcentral.
GAGAUGUUGGGACAACCAGCUGCAGAAAGGAGCUAUCCCCUCUGAAGUCUCCUCUCUGCUGGGAGCUCAGCAGACAUCAGGAUGACCAGCUGCGGAGAGAAGCUACCCAUUCCAGGGUCUUGUAGCUCCUCUCUGCUGAGAGCUGAACAUUAAAGUUGAACAUUAAUGGGACACCCUGGCAGCAGAGAGGAGCUACCCACUGUGAGUCUCCUCUGAGCUGCUCUAUUGCUCAGUAAAGCUCUUCAGCUUGCUCACCCUCCACUUGUCUGUGUACCUCAUUCUUCCCGGGCAUGGGACAAGAACUCAGGACCUCCUGAAUGGCAGGGCUGAAAGCGCUGUAACACAAACACGGCUGAAACACACCUCUUGCUCACCACGUUGUGGGUAAGAAGAAGGGGAGAAGAGCUGAGGCCCUUCGGGGACCCCAGACCUAGGAGCUCCCUGAGCCAGGGCUGUGACACCCUCUUUGGGGGUCUGGUUCCUGACAUAUCCAAGCCCCCAGGAACCAUUGCAUUCCCCAGUGGCAGCAGUGGAAGCUGCUUGCAGGAUGCCUGUUCCAGCUGCAGCCUCGUAAGAAGCCAGCACUCAUGCUGGCACCUGGAGCUGCCCACUCCACCACAGCCAUUGUUCCUGGCUGUGCACAGUGGCUGGACCCCACGCUUGCUUGCUCACACAUAUCCUCGCUGCUCCGCUCGCCCUUGGCAGGCAGGGGAUCCAGGCCAUUAGCACGAGCUGAGCAUAGCCUGCCAGGCCAAGUGGGCGCAAUGAGCCUGAGCAAAACUCUGGCAAAGGCACCACUGGCUACAGAGGUUUCUGGCUGGUGAAGUGACAGCCCAAGGAUCCCAUAAUGACAUGUUGGAUGUGCCUGGCAUUGCACAGACACACAGUAGGUGUUGGGAAGCACUGGUUCUUUCUUUCAGAGGGUCUGUCAUCCUCGUUUCCCGCAUGGCCGAACUUACCAAGGUCUUUGCAGCUUCUGCUUCCUUCUGUAGUACUCAUGGGUCCCACAUCUGUGCUUACAAAGUCCCUAGUGUAGUGAUGGGGAGAUGUUUCUGGAAGCAGUAGUGGGAAAGGGUGAGUGAAGGCAGCUCCCCCUGCCUGGGUAGUCCUAGAAUAGGAAGGGGGUGAACAGUCAAUACAUGCAGUGGAGAGGACUCUGACCUGGGAGGAAGGAAGACAAGCUACUUGCCCCAACCGUGCCACCAGCACAAUCAGUAAACCUUGCUCUGUUCUAAGCCUCAGUUUCUCCACUUCUUCAAGGAAGGGUCUUCCAGCUGAGCGCUUCCCUGUUUCUGUCCCUAUCUCCUUCUCUCUCCCAGAAAGUUUCUUGCCUUCUCUUGACUUACAGAAGACAUCACUUCCUUGAAGACUUGGCUCACUAUAAGCCUCCUGGCGGCUCCUUCCUGGGGCACUGGGCCAAACUCCUGACACGAUUAAGAAGAGGUUUUGGAACUGGGCCAGACUAGGAAAACAGGAAAGAUGACGAACAAAGCUUCCCUCCUUCUGAGGGUUGUUUAUUCCAGUGUUCCUUCAGUUGAGUUUUCUGGGUACACAGCAGCCCUUGGCUUUCCAUCCCAUGUGCAGCCUCUGGCCCAGCACUUAGUCCACUCUCAGUCAUAGAGCUUAUCACACAGACUUGCUCCAGUGCCCACUUGUCCAACUGCCCCAAACUCCUGGAAACCAGAAAGAACACAGAUGUAUCUCAACUGAGUGCCUACCAUAUUUCUACAGGAGGAACUGUCUUCGCAUAAAAGCCCCUCUGCAGCUCCUUAAGCUGCUCCCCAUCGCUCGAAUUACCACCUGAGCUCUGCUUCCUGUCUGAUCAGCAGCAGCAUUUGAUUCUCAUAGGAGUGCGAACUCUUGUGAACUGCGCAUAUCCUACUGAUGCUUCAAUUGCCUCAUCUUUGGUCAACAAGAGCCUCUUCAAGACAUUGGCUUCUGAGCCCUUUUGACAUGACACUAUAGCUUUAUUGCUUUCUGGAAUGAAAAAGUCUUCUUGGUUCAUCUUGUAUAUUUUUUGCUCCAGACCUUGAAUCAGCUAUUUCUCCUAGGAGCCCUGGUUCUUUUGUGGGAAAUGGUAUUUUGAUAUUGCAACCUUUUCUCUAGGGGUGCUCAUAGUUAUUGCAGUGGUAAUUGUUUCUAGGCCUUUUUAGUGGGUAGAGCUAGAGAAAAAAAGUUUUAAGAGAUCUUGAGUUCAUACUGAUAUUUUAAAUUUCAAUUUAGGGUAUAGCAUUUUUAUUUCUUUUAUGUUUAUAUUUUUUCUUAUGCUGAAAAUGUUGGUUUUAGUGGCAAUAAUAUUAGAUUUAUUUGCUUUAUCUUAUAAUGUAUAAAAUAACAAUUUAUAUUAAUAAUAUGAUUAUGGAAAACAUUUUAAGAUUAAAAACUGGUCAGGUAUGGCAGGUCACGCCUGUAAUCCCAGCACUUUGGGAGGCCGAGGGGGGCGGAUCACCUGAGGUUGGGAGUUCGAGACCAGCCUGACAAACAUGGAAAAACCCCGUCUCUACUAAAAAUACAAAAAAAAUUAGCCAGGUAUGGUGGCACGUGCCCGUAAUCCCAGCUACUCGGGAGGCUGAGGCAGGAGAAUCACUUGAACCUGGGAGGCAGAGGCUGUGGUGAACUGAGAUCGCACCAUUGCACUCUAGCCUGGGCAACAAGAGCGAAACUCCAUCUAAAAAAAAAAAAAAAAUUAAAAACUUUAAUUUUUUUGGCAGUUCCUCUUGUCCUUUGGGUAUAUCCUGAUGGGAAUGUACAAAUUACUAUGUUUAAAGUCAUUUGAAAUAAUUCUUCUCUGAGCACUUAUACCAUCAAUUUAAUACAUAGUUUGAUACAUUCAUUUCAUUUUGCUUUCAUUUUAGGGGUUACUUUAUUUAAAAUUCCAUUUUGUUUUAAUGAUUAUGUGGAACAUUUACAUCGUUCCAUAGCCAAAUCUUCAAAAUAAGUAUAUUCAGGUAACUCUAGCUUCUAUACUUGUUCUUUGUACUCUGAUGUCUUCCUUUCUCAUCGAGAGUCAUUUUUUAAAAAGUUCUUUUCUUUUAUUUAAAAAAUAUAAGCAAAUAUAUAUAUUGAUUUCCCCUCUUUUGUACAUAAAUGCUAGCAGCCAUACACUUUUCUUCUUUUACUUAACUAUAUAUAUAUAAUAUAUGUAUAUACAUUUUAUAUUUUAUUUAUUAUUUAUUUAUUGAGACAGGGUCUUGCCCUGUUGCGCAGACGGGUGUGCAGUGUUGUGAACAUGGCUCACUGCAGCCUCAAUCCCCUGGGCUCAAGCAAUCUGGCCACCUCAACCGUUUGAACAGCUGGGGCCACAGGCGUGCACUACCACGCCUGGCUAAUUUUCCUUCAAUUUUUUUUUUUUUGCAGAGACAAGGUUUCACUAGGUUGGCCAGGUUGGUUUUGAACCCCUGGGUUCAAGUGAUCCUCCUGUCUCAGGCUUCUGAAGUGCUGGGAUUAUAGGCAUGAGCCACCAUGCCCAGCCUAGCAAUAUAUUCUGAAGAUCACUCUACUACAGUAUACAAAGAUAGCUCUCAUUCCAUUUUAUGGCUUCAUAGUAUUCCACUGUGUAAAUAUAUCAUAAUUUAUUCACAUAAUCCCCUGUUGAUGGAUGUUUGGGUAGUUUCUAGCCCCUUGUUAUUACAAUGAGUGCUGUAACAAAGAGGCUUGUGUCAGACAUUUGCCAGAGUAUUUUUGGGAUUGACUCAUGGAAGUUGUAUUGCUAAGUAAAUGCAUCUGUAAUACUGGCUUUUGAGAUCCUAGCCCAAGAAUGCUUUCUUUUUUAUUAGUUAUUUUUUAAAUAGCAAAAUCUAUCAAAACUCUUUUCACUGUAAAUUGACAAUUUAUAGCUGUAUAAAUUUGUGAGGUACAAAGUGAUGUUAUAAUGUAUGAAUACAAUGUGGAAGAAUUAAGUCAAGCUAGUUAACACAUCCACAGCCUCAAUAAGAAUACUAUCUGUGUGAGCUUUUUUCACACUACCUCUCUGUGCCUCAGUUUCUGAUCUGCAAAAUGGGGAUAAUAACAGUAUUUACCUCAGGGAGUUGUUGGGAAGACUAUAUGGGCUAGUUGUUUUAAAGUGUUUAGAAUAGACUGGGCAUGGUGGCUCAUGCCUGUAAUCCCAGCACUUUGGGAGGCCAAGGUGGGCGGAUCACUUGAUGUCAGGAGUUCGAGACCAGCCUGGCCAACAUAGUGAGACCCCUGUCUCUAUUAAAAAUGUAAAAAUUAGGGCCAGGCAUGGUGGCGCAUGCCUGUAAUCCCAGCACUUUGGGAGGCUGAGGUAGGCAGAUUGUCUGAGCUUGGGAGUUCAAGACCACCUUGGGCAACAGGGUGAAACCUUGUCUCUGCUAAAAAAAAUACAAAAAAUUAGCUGGACAUGGUGGCGGGCACCUGUAGUCCUAGCUACUUGGGAGGCUGAGGCAGGAGAAUUGCUUGAACCCAGAAGGCGGAGGUUGCAGUGAGCCAAGAUCACACCACCGCACUCCAGCCUGGGCGACAGAGGGAGACCCUGUCUCCAAAAAAAAAAGAAAAAAAAAAGAAAAGAAAAAUUAGCCAGGCAUAGUGGUGGGUGCCUAUAAUCCCAGCUACUUGGAAGGCUGAGGCAGGAGAAUCACUUGAAGCCAGGAGGUGGAGGUUGCAGUGAGCUGAGAUGGUGCCACUGCUCUCCAGCCUGUGCAACAGAGUGAGACUCCAUCUCAGUAAAUAAAUAAAUAAAUAAAUAAAUAAAUAAAUAAAUAAAGUGCUUAGAAUUUUCCUGGUACAUGGAAAAUGUUCAAUAAAUGUUAGCUGCUUUUAUUUUUAUUAGCAAAGGGAUAGAAAGUAUGGGAAUAUGUGGACAGGUGGAACAGUAGAGUUAGAUGCUGCUAUAAGUUUUUAAGAAGGGAUUCUGGAGCUCUUCCUACUGCCCCUGCAGGAAAGGGAAGAAUCGAAGAACCCAGAAAUGAAGUUUGAAGAUUAAAUGAAUAGGACAAGGACUGAUAGUUUAAUCCUAGCAUAGACAGUGGGCCCUAAGGCUCCAAAUGCCCCUCUUCCCAAUGCUUGAGUGCUGGCUACACACUCUGACCUGUCUAGAGACUUAGAUGCACUCUGGAGGAAGAGAGGGAGGAAGCAGUCACUUGACCACAUUUAACCUGAACUUAUUUACAGUAAAUCUCUGCCAUUAGGUUGGAUGGGCACUUGGGAUAGAAAUGAAAUUCAGUUAUACAAAAAUAAGUUACUUUAUAUAUUCAUUUUACAUGAGCUUAUGGCCUAUGAAAUUCAACUCGUUACAAUAUAAUUAUUGACUGAUAGCCUGAGGCACAAGAGGAGGGUGUGAAAGAAUGGAAGGAGUGGGAGGGAAUAAAAGAAAUAUUGGAAGGCAGCUCUUUGUUCACCUUACACAUGGGGCUAGAGCUCUGAUGUCCAAUAUGGUAGCCACUAGCUACAUGAGUCCGAUGACUACCAAAUUGGAAAACCUAGCUAUAGAAAUUUUCAGCAUUGCACUGUUCUAUUGGACAGUGCUGGGAAUGUUGAUUGGCCGUGCAUAGUGGGUGGCAGAGUGUAAACCCUGGUGCUGGAGGUCCAUCCUGAUAUCCUCAUUUUUGGUUCCCAAUAAAUGGGCUCAAACUGGUCCUCUGAAGGUCCUGGACAGCUGCUCACAUCCACACGGCCAUCCAAGUCUGUGUCUCAGGCUUCUGCUCCUUCCUCCUUCCUCUAGGGAGUAGCUGCCUGCAGCUCUAGCUCUUUAUCCCCUUUCUUACAACCUGCUCCUCCAAAGUCAUGCCCAGACUCAUGUCCUGGGUCUCCUUCCCAGGCUCUCAGGAGGCUUCAGUCAAGCUGGUCUAUUCGUUCUCUGUCAUCUGCCUAGACUGAAUUAAGGUAGCUGGCAGGCUCCCUGUAGUUGGAGGCAGACAGGGCACCCCCAGUUAGUUCCUCCUUACUCUCUGCUGGCUCAUAUUUCCUGUUUUUAAUAGCUAGGUCCCUGGGCCUAUCAAGGGGUGAUACAAGGCCUGUCUCUUCCCUCCCCCACCAUGCUUACUUUGAAAAGGGGGAAGUGGAACUGCUCAGUGUUCAUGAGCUGGGCUAAUAGCACCUUCUGUCAUGCAGCCCUCCCAGCCCUGAAACCUCCAGCUCUCAGUCCUACUCAGGUUCCCACACCCACCCCACAAAAAGCCUUGUCUGAGGCUUCCUCCAGAAUUGCAAGGUCUGGGGAGCUGGGUGCCACAGACCCAGAGGAAGUUUCCCUGCUCUGUUCUGUUUGUUUCUGUAGAGAUGAUGUGAACACCUCACUGCUAUCCAAGUUUCAUUCAAUGAAUAUUUGUUGGUCAUCUGGGCCUGACCCUGAGAUCACCAGGGUCUACAAGGCAGAUGAAAGCCCUGCUCCUUAGACAUCUGCCCUAGUCGGGGAGACAGACAACAAAGAAGAAAAAUGGGAUCCUGGUUGAGGAGUUGGUGGGGGGCAGAUUCUAAUAUUGGAGGUUCUUUUGGGUUGGAGGGAGCUGGGCGUGCUAGGCAGGGACAAGAUGGAAAGGAGAAAGGAGGUGUAUGCCUGACUGUGAGCUCCAUUAAGCCAGGGACUGUGCCCUAUUUGCCUUCCAUUGAUUCCUCAGUGAUUCCUUCCAUUGAUUCCAUUGAUUCCUCCUCAGAGCGGGAGCUCAUGAAGCACUGAAUGAAUGACCGACCAGUGCUGCUGAGAUAGGCGCAAAGCUGGGGGCUUCUGAGCUGGACUUGCCUCUGUGGUCCCCAUGGCUGCCCUUGUUGCAUGGGGCCUGGACCCCAGCCCCAGCCCAGCCAGCUUUGCUGCCACUUGGAUUCAUUCUCUGCAGUUUCCAAGUCUUUCCCUGAGCUAUGGCCUCCAACCUAUCCCAGCUCAGGGCCGGUACGUGUCUAGGCAGCUCUAUCCAGCUCUUUCCUCACUUGGCAAUUUGUGAAGUGGAGACAUCAAGUGGUCAGAUCCUGGAACGGCAGCAGUCGAGCUGUGGACACAGAGCAAAGGCUCCCGAGCCCUCCUGCCAGGCAGAGCCCUGAUGCAGCGAUGAUUAGUACUGGAUCCACACAGAACCUUAUCCUGGCUGAGCCCAGAUUCCAGCCAUAGAACGAACUCUAAUCCUGGUCACAGACUGAGACCUCCAACUCCUAAUUAGGGGUCUAAGAGGGGUACUCCUAAACAAUUCCCCUAAUUUUACAUUUGUACUGUAAUGAACUGAUACAACUUUAAAAACUUUUUUUUGGAAGGUUCACAUAUAUUCAGAAUUUUCCAUUCUAAACAUAUCCAUGCAACCAAUGCUCAUUGCUGGCAAUCCCAGACACCUUCAUCUUCAUACUUCCUUCUACUCGCUACCUCCCCAAGGGUAACAACUUCUAUAUAUUUGAAAUCAUACUGUAUAUUCUUUUCUUUUUUUUGAGACAGGGUCUCAUUCUGUCACCUAGGCUGGAGUGCAGUGGUAUGAUCUUGGCUCACUGCAACCUCUGCCUCCCAGGUUCAAGUGAUUCUCGUGCCUGAGUAGCUGGGACUACAUGUGUGCGCCACCACGCCCAGCUAAUUUUUUGUAUUUUUAGUGGAGACAGGGUUUCCAUCAUGUUGGCCACGCUGUGUAUAUUCUUUUCGGUGUCUGGCUUCUUCUGCCCAAUGUCAUGUUGGUGAAAUUCAUCCACAUUGAUAUGCGUCCUUGUUGAUUGGUUAUACUUGGUGUGCACAGUCAGCCCCCCGUAUCCAUGGAUUCUGCAUCCAUGGAUUCAACCAGCCACAGAUUAAAAACAUUUUUAAAAAAGUUGCAUCUAUACUGAACAUGUAGACUUUUUUCUUGUCAUUCUUUUUUUUUUUUUUGAGACGGAGUCUUACUCUUUCACCCAGGCUAGAGUGCAGUAGUGCAAUCUUGGGUCACUGCAACAUCCACCUCCCAGGUUUGGGUGAUUCUUCUGCCUCAGCCUCCCAGUGAGCUGGGAUUACAGGCAUCUGCCACCAUGCCUGGCUAAUUUUUGUAUUUUUAGUAUAGACAGGGUUUCACCAUGUUGGCCAGGCUGGUCUUGAACUCCUGACCUCAGGUGACCUGCCUGCCUUGGCCUCCCAAAGUUGCUGGGAUUACAGGCAUAAUCCACCACCCCCAGCCCUUGUCAUUCUUUUCUUUUCUUUCUUUCUUUCUUCUUUUUUUUUUUUUUUUUUUGAGACAGAGUCCUGUUCUGUCACCCAGGCUGGAGUGCAGUGGUGCAUCUCGGCUCACUGCAAGCUCUGCCUCCCGGGUUCGCCAUUCUCCUGCCUCAGCCUCCCGAGUAGCUGGGAUUACAGGAGCCCGCCACCACGCCCAGCUAAUUUUUUCUAUUUUUAGUAGAGACAGGGUUUCACUGUGUUAGCCAGGAUGGUCUCGAUCUCCUGACCUCGUGAUCCGUCCGCCUCGGCCUCCGAAAGUGCUGGCAUGAGCCACUGCACCCGGCAUGAGCCACUGCACCCGGCCCAUUAUUUUCUUAAAACACAGUAUAACAACUAUUUACAUAGCAUUUACAUUGUAUUAGGUAUUAUAAGCAAUCUAGAGAUGAUUUAAAGUUUAUGGGAGGAUGUGCAUAGGUUAUAUUCAAAUACAACACCAUUUUAUGUAAAAAACUUGAGAAUUCCUGAAUUUUUGUAUCUGUGGGAGUCCCGGAAUCAAUCCCCCAUGGAUAUUGAGGGAUAGCUGUAUUUUACUGUGUGAAUUUAUACUGCAACUUAGUUAUCUAUUCUAUUGUCAAUGAGCAUUUGGGUACUUCCAUUUGAAGGUUAUUGUAAGUAGUGCUGCCAUGGAUUUUGUAGCAUAUGUCAUUUGGUGAACAGAGCUUAGGCAUCUCUGUACCUAGAAGUGGAAUUGCUGGGUUAUGGGUUUUGUAUUGAUUUAGCUUCAUUAGUUGCUAAUAAAUAGUUUUCCGAAGUAGUUAUACCGAUUUACAUGCCCCACUCAGGGUAUGCCAAUUCCAGUUGUUCCAUACCAUUACAGUAUUCAUUCUAGACUUUUUGUCUUUUCUACUGUAGACUUUCUGGAUGAUGUGUACUGAUGAUAUCACUCUUGGAUGGGCCUGCAAUGCAGAUGAGCUUAUGUGCAGAUGUAUUGAUUUUAUUAUUAAUAAAUGGAAGGGAUUUUAAUGGAACUGGCCCUGCUAUCUUAUAAUUGACACUGAAAAGGGAUCCAGCUCAACAUUU